AUGGAUGAGCUCACGUCGCUAACCUGGUCACAGAGGGAGUACCGGCAAUGUAGCAUCAUGAUGCUAAUGGAGUCGUGGCUAACACCGCUAACUCCGGACACGAGCGUGACGCUAAAUGGAUUCCAGCUGCUGAAGGUGGACAGGACGAGAGAGAGCGGUAAGAGGAAAGGGGGGGGACUGGCAGUGUUUGUGAAUGACAGAUGGUGUAACCCUGGGCACAUCACUGUGAAAGAACAACUCUUCAACAGAGACAUUGAGCUGUUAGCCGUUAGCAUGCGUCCGUACUACCUGCCCCGGGAAUUCUCGCAUGUUAUCGCGAUAACAGCGUAUGUCCCCCCCUCAGCCAACGCGGAUGCAGCCUGUGACUCUCUCCGCUCUGUGGUCAGCAGACUGCAAACGCAAUCUCCGAGAGCCCUUCUCAUAAUAUCAGGGGACUUCAAUCAUGCCUCACUGGACUCCACACUGCUCACCUUCACCCAGUAUGUGACAUGCCCAACCAGAGAUAAUAAAACACUGGACUUACUGUACGCCAAUGCUGAAGAGGCAUACAGUUCAUCACCUUUACCUCCCCUAGGCAGAUCUGAUCACAACCUGGUGCAGCUUGUCCCUGUGUAUGAGCCCUUAGUGCGCAGUGAGCCACCAGCCACCCGCACAGUGCAGAGAUGGUCGGAGGAGAGCGAGGAGGCUCUUAAGGAUUGUUUUGAGUCUACUGUGUGGGAGGUGAUCUGUGACGACCACGGAGAGGACAUCGACAGCCUUGUGACAUGGAUUACGGACUAUAUUAACUUCUGUGUUAAUAACACCAUACCUACCAGGACUGUGCGGUGUUUCUCCAACAACAAACCUUGGAUUACCCCAGAAAUUAAAGCUGUCCUCAAGAAGAAGAGGAGGGCCUUCAAAUCCAAAGACAAAGAGGAGUUGAAAAGGGUGCAGAGAGAGCUGAGAGAACUGAUGAGGAAUGAGAAGGACAGCUACAGGCAGAAGAUGGAGAACCAGCUUCAGAAAAACUACGUGGCGAAGUCUGGAGAGGCCUCAGAACCAUCUCAGGCCACAAACAUCAGAACUCUCUGCCUGGGAGGGAUGUGA
RNAcentral lists this long non-coding RNA (1086 nucleotides) under Oreochromis niloticus (Nile tilapia). RNAcentral describes it as "lncRNA (ENSONIG00000042995.1)". The record is from RNAcentral. Lineage: Eukaryota; Metazoa; Chordata; Actinopteri; Cichliformes; Cichlidae.